AGUAAAAUUUUUCUGGAUAACUGCUCUGUGCCCAUGCCUAAUCAUAGUUAAUAUGAUAAUGGUGAAAUGCAUAGCUUUAGCCAUAUGUCAACAUGCAUGAAUUUAUUUUAGAAUUUUAGAAAAAAUAUGUUCUAUAAAAUUAUGUAUGUACAUAUGUCUUAUCAUAUAUAGAAGUCGAACAUAUUGUACGGAAAAUUUAAGAGGCAAGAUGCUUUUAAUGCCUAAUAGAAAUUUAAGAAUAAUGAUUUUGUUCAUUUUGAUAAGGAUAUUAAUGGUAUGUUAAUUGUUUGUGGGAAAGUAAUCCAUCAGUUUUAGAAUAUAUAUAUAUAUUAUUUUGUCUUGUUUCAGGGAGUAUACUUCUUAGUUUCUCUACUGUAUUAUACAAUACUAGGAGCUGAGCCCCGCGCAAGCGCGGGGUUGUGCACAUUGUUGUUGUGUUGUCUAUAUCUGAGGAGGAAAUGAAGAUUGUGUAGUUGGUGUUCUAAAUAUGAAGAUGCUCUGACCUAUAUAAUAAGAGUUCUGAGAUUGGUUUUGAAGAGCGAUGUUUUUGUCUUGGUAUUGUGGUUGUGUGUGAAAUGUAGUGGGUUACAGUCAGGCUAAUUAAUAAUUUACGUUUAAAAUUUGGGCUUACUUUCAUUUAUAAUAAGUUCCACAGAAGGCAUGUAUACAGAGUGGACGUUUAUGCAAUGUUUACAUGAGUUCCAUAUUUCUAUGUAAACAUGUACAGAUGCAUUUAGUUUUGAACAUUUUCAAUAUGCAAGGCUUCAUCAACGAUAUAUAAAAUCUUAGUCACUAUCCUUUUGGUGGGAGGUAGUUUGCCGUAAAAUGCAAGGAAAAACAAAACAAAGUUCAAAAUAGGAAAAACACAGGUAGUUGAAAAAUUUUAAAGAGACGAAAGCUGAAGAUCAUAAUAAAUGUUAUAUAUCCCAGUAUAUUGAUUUCCAAGAUUCCUGAUAGAUAUUCUCUCAUUUCUAUACCCUGAAGAUCAUAAUUCACUUGGGAAAGACACGAUAUGAUCGUGGUUUGGAGAACAUAGACAACAUAUCUUAUGCGUUUGGUAAUGCAUUUAGAAAAGCAGCUCAAGAGAGUAGAG
RNAcentral lists this long non-coding RNA (1093 nucleotides) under Brassica napus (rape). RNAcentral describes it as "long non-coding RNA (BNAP_LNC008508)". The record is from RNAcentral. Lineage: Eukaryota; Viridiplantae; Streptophyta; Magnoliopsida; Brassicales; Brassicaceae.